RNAcentral lists this ribosomal RNA (497 nucleotides) under uncultured bacterium. Its description in RNAcentral is "partial 16S ribosomal RNA". It matches the Rfam family "Bacterial small subunit ribosomal RNA", at positions 28 to 507 of the family's 1533-position model. The record is from RNAcentral.
GAUGAACGCUGGCGGCGUGCCUAAUACAUGCGAGUCGAGCGAACAGACGAGGAGCUUGCUCCUCUGACGUUAGCGGCGGACGGGUGAGUAACACGUGGAUAACCUACCUAUAAGACUGGGAUAACUUCGGGAAACCGGAGCUAAUACCGGAUAAUAUAUUGAACCGCAUGGUUCAAUAGUGAAAGACGGUUUUGCUGCCACUUAUAGAUGGAUCCGCGCCGCAUUAGCUAGUUGGUAAGGUAACGGCUUACCAAGGCAACGAUGCGUAGCCGACCUGAGAGAGUGAUCGGCCACACUGGAACUGAGACACGGUCCAGACUCCUACGGGAGGCAGCAGUAGGGAAUCUUCCGCAAUGGGCGAAAGCCUAACGGAGCAACGCCGCGUGAGUGAUGAAGGUCUUCGGAUCGUAAAACUCUGUUAUUAGGGAAGAACAAAUGUGUAAGUAACUAUGCACGUCUUGACGGUACCUAAUCAGAAAGCCACGGCUAACUACGUG